This 407-nucleotide ribosomal RNA is filed under the name Amphisbaena uroxena. RNAcentral's name for it is "partial 16S ribosomal RNA". It matches the Rfam family "Bacterial large subunit ribosomal RNA", at positions 1985 to 2608 of the family's 2925-position model. Lineage: Eukaryota; Metazoa; Chordata; Lepidosauria; Squamata; Amphisbaenidae. The record is from RNAcentral.
GACUAGUAUGAAUGGCGACAUGAGGGUCACCUUGUCUCUUAUAAUAAGUCUAUGAAACUGAUCUUCCAGUACAAAAGCUGGAAUAAACCCACAAGACGAGAAGACCCUGUGGAGCUUUAAACUUCAACUCAUCCUAUAUGACCUUGCAGUUUUUAGUUGGGGCGACUUUGGAGCAAAACUAAACCUCCAAACCAUUUUAACCUAGGCCGUCACGCCAAACCAUCAACCACUGACCCAAUAUAAUUGAUCAAUGAACCAAGUUACCCCAGGGAUAACAGCGCAAUCUUCUUCUAGAGUCCCUAUCGACAAGAAGGUUUACGACCUCGAUGUUGGAUCAGGAUACCCAAAUAGUGCAGCCGCUAUUAACGGUUCGUUUGUUCAACGAUUAAUAAUCCCACGUGAUCUGA